This 794-nucleotide ribosomal RNA is filed under the name uncultured archaeon. RNAcentral's name for it is "bacterial SSU rRNA". It matches the Rfam family "Archaeal small subunit ribosomal RNA", at positions 528 to 1320 of the family's 1478-position model. The record is from RNAcentral.
GUUUAAUCAGUCUUCUGGGAAAUCUAAUUGCUUAACUAUUAGGCUUCCAGGGGAUACUGUUAGACUUGGGACCGGGAGAGGUAAGAGGUACUGCAGGGGUAGGAGUGAAAUCUUGUAAUCCCUGUGAGACCACCAGUGGCGAAGGCGUCUUACCAGAACGGGUCCGACGGUGAGGGACGAAAGCUGGGGGCACGAACCGGAUUAGAUACCCGGGUAGUCCCAGCUGUAAACGAUGCUCGUUAGGUGUCAGGAACGGUGCGACUGUUUCUGGUGCCGAAGGGAAGCCGUGAAACGAGCCACCUGGGAAGUACGGCCGCAAGGCUGAAACUUAAAGGAAUUGGCGGGGGAGCACUACAACGGGUGGAGCCUGCGGUUUAAUUGGACUCAACGCCGGAAAACUCACCGGGGGCGACAGCAAUAUGUAGGUCAGGUUAAAGGUCUUACCUGAAUCGCUGAGAGGAGGUGCAUGGCCGUCGUCAGUUCGUACUGUGAAGCAUCCUGUUAAGUCAGGCAACGAGCAAGACCCGUGCCCACUGUUACCAGCAUAUCCUUUAUGGAUGAUGGGGACUCUGUGGGGACCGCUGCUGCUAAAGCAGAGGAAGGUGCGGGCUACGGUAGGUCAGUAUGCCCCGAAUCUCCCGGGCUACACGCGGGCUACAAUGGUUGGGACAAUGGGUAUCUACUCCGAAAGGAGUUGGCAAUCUCUUAAACCCAAUCGUAGUUCGAAUUGAGGGCUGUAACUCGCCCUCAUGAAGCUGGAAUCCGUAGUAAUCGCGUUUCAACAUAGCGCGGUG